UGAAAGAUAGUGCAAUUGAUGUUUAAGUUAUCCAAAUGAAUAUGUAAUUACUGUAUAGAGUCUUAAACUCGAUUAUUACCCGAUAAAGUUAUCGGUAGACCGACAUGGUUCAGAAAUUGAUCUGGACAUAGAUAAUUUAAUUAGUUAAAGGUUUAUUUGUGAUUCAAUGGUUGUUAAGGUUAUAUGAUAAUGUAAUUAAGAAUGUGUUAAUGAUUGUUUGUGAGUCAAUGACUGUUGAACAUGUGUGAUAAGGUGAUUAGAUUAUGUGCUGACUGCAAUAGGCAGUGUUAUGUGUUACGUUAUGAUAUACUAAUCAGUAAAAUGAUUUGAUUAAUG
RNAcentral lists this long non-coding RNA (336 nucleotides) under Panax ginseng (ginseng). Its description in RNAcentral is "long non-coding RNA (PGIN_LNC002439)". Lineage: Eukaryota; Viridiplantae; Streptophyta; Magnoliopsida; Apiales; Araliaceae. The record is from RNAcentral.